AAGCAUCAGAUUUUCUUUGCUUCUGAAGGAAGUAAAAUCAAAAUCCUUGAACAAAUUUUAACUAUUUUACAGCCAAUUAACGAAGCAUUCUAAAAUAAUAACAAAAAAAAAAAAAAGUCUUCUUAUUUUAGCAAAUUUUAUUCAUGUAAUCUCUUGAAAUCUUCAAUUAUGGCAAGCCGAUAAAUACGUACAGCACUACUCAUCUAUAUCACGCCUCCUCAGCUUUGUCACCAUAUUUUCCACGGGGAAAAAAAAAAAAAAAAAAAAGGUUCAACCUUGAGUAGCACUUAGAAAUUCUUUGUGAAACAUUCAGCAGCUAAAAGUGCAAUGAGCACAACCAGGUCGUUGUUCUUGGCAAUUCAAAGUAAGACCGAAAGAUGAAGGGAGGCCGGAUGCACAAUAGGCUGCACGCACGCACGCACGCACGUAGCUAGAUGUAUAGGCUCAAACGUCAAACUUGAUUCUGAAUUUUAUAUGUAGAAUUUUGUGCUUCAAAUUUUUAUAUAUCGUUUCAUUUUGCAUGUGCUUGCUGCCCUUUUUAGAUCGUUUUUAGGAAUCGAAGUUUGAUCUUCUCUGCCUCGGGCGCCGGAGAUGAUGACGAGAAUGUUUAUGUUACUUCCAAACGUACAGUGUCUUCAAAAUAAAUGAAAAACUAUCGGAUAUGGGCUCUGAUUGAAUUAUUAGGGCAAAGGCCCAUCUUAUGCAAGCAAUAAUCAUUAAGUAUUGAUUGCAUUUUUUUUUUACCUUAUUAUUAUUAUUUUUUGAAAAGAUGAAACUUGUAUUAUUAGUAUGUUCCUUUAUGUCAUCUAAAGAAUGAAUGAAAAUAUUUGAGUAUAUUAGGGUGAUUGGGAGCACUGAUGAUUACUUUUCAUUUUCUUUUUCCCGUCUUUCUUCCUACAAUUUCUGUUCCAUUUUCCAACUAAUGAAACCAUACUUUCUUGCGUCAAAGUUGUUUGAAAUUCAACAGUGUAUGCUUUGUUUCUCACAAUAUAUAAAAUUUAAGAAAUGAAAACAGUAAUUUCAAUGAUUAAUUUGUUAAUGGCUGUCAAGUGCAGGCAUAGGUGGCAUCUGUAACGCUGUAACUUAGCCAGCUCCCC
This 1097-nucleotide long non-coding RNA is filed under the name Citrus maxima (pomelo). Its description in RNAcentral is "long non-coding RNA (CMAX_LNC001088)". Lineage: Eukaryota; Viridiplantae; Streptophyta; Magnoliopsida; Sapindales; Rutaceae. The record is from RNAcentral.